This 345-nucleotide ribosomal RNA is filed under the name Nyctibates corrugatus (southern night frog). RNAcentral's name for it is "partial 12S ribosomal RNA". It matches the Rfam family "Bacterial small subunit ribosomal RNA", at positions 869 to 1384 of the family's 1533-position model. The record is from RNAcentral. Lineage: Eukaryota; Metazoa; Chordata; Amphibia; Anura; Arthroleptidae.
CCGCCAGAGAACUACGAGCACAAACUUAAAACUCAAAAGACUUGACGGUGUCCCACCCAACUAGAGGAGCCUGUUCUAUAAUCGAUUCUCCCCGCUAAACCUAACCACUUCUUGCCCAUCAGUCUGUAUACUUCCGUCGCAAGCUUACCUUAUGAAUGUCUACUAGUAAGCAACAAGAUUCUACAUCUACACGUCAGGUCAAAGUGCAGCCUAUGAAGUGGGUAGAAAUGGGCUACNAUUUCUACCUUAGAACAUACGAAAUACCACAUGAAACCCAGUCAUGAAGGCGGAUUUAGCAGUAAAACGGAAAUAAAGUGUCCUUUUUAAGCCGGCACUGGGACGCGU